Beta vulgaris subsp. vulgaris (sugar beet) is the source of this 2401-nucleotide RNA transcript. It is a transcript of the gene named vacuolar protein sorting 38, with no coding region annotated. Lineage: Eukaryota; Viridiplantae; Streptophyta; Magnoliopsida; Caryophyllales; Amaranthaceae. The transcript has 9 exons. The record is from RefSeq and is a predicted model, not a curated record.
UUAAAACAAAAAGAUAAAUUAAAGAAAACUAAAAUAGCAGCACGCUGCACGCGUAAGAUUGACGAACAAUCUCUCUCUCCUCUCUCUGCGCACCAGCCAGUCGCACCACCCCCUCUCCAUCUGAAGCUGCGCCACCGCACCAUACACCAUACACCGUGCACCAUACACCGUACUCUUUGAGGUACUCUGUGCGAGUGGGCCAACAUCAACAAGUGAAAGGCCUGAGAGUCCACGGCAGAGUUACCACCGCCCACCGGCCAAUCAAAUAUAUCUCUGUUUGCCGACCUCUCUCCACAGACAACUCCCAAUUCAGAGGGAGGUUUCCACAUCGGCACAGGAAGUGAAAGACUCGUUCUUCCAUCUUGGUUUUUUUGGGUUCUUGGGGUUCUCUGGUGGGGGAGAGUGAGAUGUUCUGAAAAGUAAAAACCAAAUGAGAUUGAGAUUCACACUCUGUCUCACUCCAAUCGCCUACCAAUCUUUCACCUGGACGAUGACAAAUUCCUCCCAUCUAAAAUUUCACAAUUCCCAAACUUUAUCUCAUCCCCUUUCAAUUUACACUUGCCCUUUUGAUUUCAAAAUCGAUUUUGAUUUAGAUGGACGCCCUCCCCAAUUUACGAAGCUCUACUACUUGUUCCAAAGAUAAGGUCAAGGAUCUCCAGGUGAAAAUAAUUCAGUGGGAGGAUUUUGAACAAGAACUUGCUCGGUUAUCCAGUCUUUCCUCGGCCCUCCAUCAGUCCCAACAAAAGAGACUUGCUCUCCAAACUCACCUCCAAACCCUAAUUCAGGUACAAUCUGAGUCCUUGAGUCGCAAGAAUCAACUUGAUGAGAUUUCUGAAAGAGUGCAACUUAGGAAGCUUGUUAUGGGAAACAUGUUGAUGCAAGCCAAGGUGGUUGAAGAACAUGCUCAAACCAAAGAGGACCACCUAGCCACUGAAAUUAAGUCUCUGCUUGUUUCAGGGACAUCACUUUCUGUUGCGCGCAAAAGACUCCAGGAAUCUGGUAGAUUACUUGCUGGAGAAAAGGGUCUCGCUCGAUUAAGUGCUCUACAGAAGAUUCUUAGAGUGAGACAGCAACAUAUGAUUUCACAAGUUGCAUAUCUUUAUCCAGUAAAGACCUUGAUUGGUGCAACUCAAGAGCUUGAACUUGAUUCAUUUCCGAGUGGGAGUAGGUCAGGGACUCCUGGGGGAAAUAUAGAUGAGAACAAAUCAAGAAACCAAGGAACCUUGACUAUAUCUGGGGUGCAGUUAAAUAUGCUUCCUUUUACGCAGAUGACUUUUUUCACUGAUAAGAAGCAGAUCCAGGGAUCGACGACUGCUCUAGGAUACGUCGCCCAUGUCAUCUCACUCAUAGCUUCAUACCUACACGUGCCUUUACGUUAUCCUUUGCGUUUGGGUGGUUCUCAUUCAUAUAUCAAAGACUGUGCAGUGUUUAAUAAUCCAACAUCAUCAGGAUCUAACUCAACUUCCUUGGCUGCUGCAAAUAAGAAGUGUCUGGAAUUUCCACUUUUUUUAGAUGGGCAAGAUGCAACCAGAGCAGCUUAUGCAAUAUUUCUUUUAAACAAGGACAUAGAACAACUGUUGAAUUAUGUUGGGAUUGAAAGCUUAGGGCCUCGACAUGUAUUGGCUAAUCUGAAGGAGCUCUUUAAAACCAUACUCUCGCCAGAGUUUAUAGAAAGUGACUGACACCAAACCUUCUUGUGCAAGAAUGGGCCCAGGUCCCCUAUACUCCCCCUUCCCGCCCCCAAAAAGAAAAUGCCAUUGGGCUGAAUAUGAAGUAUGCUUAAGAUGAUAUGGAGCUGAAUAUGAUUUGCAUGGCCUCGAAAGUUGAGAUUCAACUGUACUGCAGGGGGGAUUACAUCUACUACUACGGGAAACUCGCCAACAACAAACCCCUACGGAACAGGAUCACCGCUCACCCCCACCAUUAACACUACAUCAUCAUCAUCAUCAUCAACCAUUGGUGUUGGUGCUGGAGAUGGAACAGGAUUCAACCCCACUAAUAUGGGUCCUCCAAUUCCUACAAGACAACCAAUGACUCAGAAUCUGCUCUUAAGUCUUCAUCAUUUCUUUUGGAGAUAUUGAUGUUUCUACUGCUUUCACUCGCCCUCAACUAAGGAGGAUAGCAGGGAAUUAAAUGAGAGAGGAUUAUAACUUUUGGUAAUGGUUAGACAGAUAGAAAACUCAACACAAUUUUGUUCGAAUUUUGGAGGUGUUGUAUUGGUUUCGAAUGGACUCAACUAAAUACUGUAAUUCCUUAAUCUUAGAGAAGAUGUAGCAGCUAAAGCUACUGCAUUGAUGUCAGUUCUCUUCAGAUUAUGAUUAAAUAUUAAUAGGUUAGGUUCUUAAUUUGUAGUAAGCAUAUGCUGAGAUUGUUAUGUUAUUAUGUAUGGCUGUCUGACUAA